This 468-nucleotide ribosomal RNA is filed under the name uncultured bacterium. Its description in RNAcentral is "partial 16S ribosomal RNA". It matches the Rfam family "Bacterial small subunit ribosomal RNA", at positions 28 to 507 of the family's 1533-position model. The record is from RNAcentral.
GACGAACGCUGGCGGCGUGCUUAACACAUGCAAGUCGAACGGAAAGGCCCUGCUUUUGUGGGGUGCUCGAGUGGCGAACGGGUGAGUAACACGUGAGUAACCUGCCCUUGACUUUGGGAUAACUUCAGGAAACUGGGGCUAAUACCGGAUAGGAGCUCCUGCUGCAUGGUGGGGGUUGGAAAGUUUGGGCGGUUGGGGAUGGACUCGCGGCUUAUCAGCUUGUUGGUGGGGUAGUGGCUUACCAAGGCUUUGACGGGUAGCCGGCCUGAGAGGGUGACCGGCCACAUUGGGACUGAGAUACGGCCCAGACUCCUACGGGAGGCAGCAGUGGGGAAUAUUGCACAAUGGGCGGAAGCCUGAUGCAGCAACGCCGCGUGCGGGAUGACGGCCUUCGGGUUGUAAACCGCUUUCGCCUGUGACGAAGCGUGAGUGACGGCAAUGGGUAAAGAAGCACCGGCUAACUACGUG